UACGAAGGGUGCAAGCGUUACUCGGAAUUACUGGGCGUAAAGCGUGCGUAGGUGGUUUGUUAAGUCUGAUGUGAAAGCCCUGGGCUCAACCUGGGAAUUGCAUUGGAUACUGGCAGGCUAGAGUGCGGUAGAGGAUGGCGGAAUUCCCGGUGUAGCAGUGAAAUGCGUAGAUAUCGAGAGGAACACCUGCGGCGAAGGCGGGUUGCUGGGCUGACACUGACGCUGAUUGUGCGAAAGCUAGGGGAGCGAACGGG
RNAcentral lists this ribosomal RNA (254 nucleotides) under uncultured bacterium. Its description in RNAcentral is "partial 16S ribosomal RNA". It matches the Rfam family "Bacterial small subunit ribosomal RNA", at positions 524 to 776 of the family's 1533-position model. The record is from RNAcentral.